Molecule: ribosomal RNA, 394 nt
Filed under: uncultured bacterium
Lineage: Bacteria
Description: bacterial SSU rRNA
Rfam family: Bacterial small subunit ribosomal RNA
Source: RNAcentral
AUUGAACGCUGGCGGAAUGCUUUACACAUGCAAGUCGAACGGCAGCACGGGGCAACCUGGUGGCGAGUGGCGAACGGUGAGUAAUAUAUCGGAACGUGCCCAAUCGUGGGGGAUAACGUAGCGAAAGUUACGCUAAUACCGCAUACGAUCUACGGAUGAAAGCGGGGAUCGCAAGACCUCGCGCGAAUGGAGCGGCCGAUAUCAGAUUAGGUAGUUGGUGGGGUAAAGGCUCACCAAGCCAACGAUCUGUAGCUGGUCUGAGAGGACGACCAGCCACACUGGAACUGAGACACGGUCCAGACUCCUACGGGAGGCAGCAGUGGGGAAUUUUGGACAAUGGGCGCAAGCCUGAUCCAGCCAUUCCGCGUGCAGGAUGAAGGCCUUGGUUGUAAAC